Non-coding RNA from Arachis ipaensis, 481 nucleotides. NCBI's taxonomy places the organism in Eukaryota, Viridiplantae, Streptophyta, Magnoliopsida, Fabales, Fabaceae. The record is from RefSeq and is a predicted model, not a curated record.
UGAACAAUCAUGGAGAAAUAAAAAAAAGGCAACCCAGGGCACAAGCACUCCGCAUUAACGCAGGGUCCGGGAAAGGGCCGCAUCCAAAGGGUGUAAUAUACGCAGCCUAACCUGAUAAUUACAUCAAUGGCUAUUUUCAUGGCUUGAACCCCUGACCUUGAGGUCACGCGGAGACAACUCAACUGUUGCUCCAAGGCUCCCCUUCGAAUAAUGACAUAUUACAGCACAAUUUUUUACCAGUAACGACAAUAACAUUCUGCAAAUCUGAGGCUAGAGUAAUAACAAUCCUAUAUUUCAGUUUAUUCAAAACUAAAGUUGGUGGUAGUUAAAUAGGUUGCUAAUUUAUUUAUUGACCCAUCUAUCAUCUAAUAUCCAUCAGAGAAGGAAAGUUUAUUCCAAAGAAGAAACAAAAGGAAAAUCUGACUUCCAAUAAGCAUCCAGAAAAUUCAUUCAAGCAACAGUUAUUUACAGAAAAAAACGA